UACGAAGGGGGCUAGCGUUGCUCGGAAUCACUGGGCGUAAAGGGUGCGUAGGCGGGUCUUUAAGUCAGGGGUGAAAUCCUGGAGCUCAACUCCAGAACUGCCUUUGAUACUGAAGAUCUUGAGUUCGGGAGAGGUGAGUGGAACUGCGAGUGUAGAGGUGAAAUUCGUAGAUAUUCGCAAGAACACCGGUGGCGAAAGCGGCUCUCUGGCCCGGUUCUGACGCUGAGGCGCGAAAGCGUGGGGAGCAAACAGG
RNAcentral lists this ribosomal RNA (253 nucleotides) under uncultured bacterium. RNAcentral's name for it is "partial 16S ribosomal RNA". It matches the Rfam family "Bacterial small subunit ribosomal RNA", at positions 524 to 776 of the family's 1533-position model. The record is from RNAcentral.